AUUGAACGCUGGCGGCAGGCCUAACACAUGCAAGUCGAGCGGAUGAAGGGAGCUUGCUCCUGGAUUCAGCGGCGGACGGGUGAGUAAUGCCUAGGAAUCUGCCUGGUAGUGGGGGAUAACGUCCGGAAACGGGCGCUAAUACCGCAUACGUCCUGAGGGAGAAAGUGGGGGAUCUUCGGACCUCACGCUAUCAGAUGAGCCUAGGUCGGAUUAGCUAGUUGGUGGGGUAAAGGCCUACCAAGGCGACGAUCCGUAACUGGUCUGAGAGGAUGAUCAGUCACACUGGAACUGAGACACGGUCCAGACUCCUACGGGAGGCAGCAGUGGGGAAUAUUGGACAAUGGGCGAAAGCCUGAUCCAGCCAUGCCGCGUGUGUGAAGAAGGUCUUCGGAUUGUAAAGCACUUUAAGUUGGGAGGAAGGGCAGUAAGUUAAUACCUUGCUGUUUUGACGUUACCAAAAGAAUAAGCACCGGCUAACUUCAUG
This 484-nucleotide ribosomal RNA is filed under the name uncultured bacterium. RNAcentral's name for it is "partial 16S ribosomal RNA". It matches the Rfam family "Bacterial small subunit ribosomal RNA", at positions 30 to 507 of the family's 1533-position model. The record is from RNAcentral.